GGGGAAGUACUCAAGAGGCUCAAGAGGCGCCCCUGCUAAGGGCGUAGGUCGCGAAAGCGGUGCGAGGGUUCGAAUCCCUCCUUCUCCGCCA
RNAcentral lists this transfer RNA (91 nucleotides) under Sporosarcina luteola. Its description in RNAcentral is "tRNA-Ser". It matches the Rfam family "tRNA". From Rfam's summary of the family: Transfer RNA (tRNA) molecules are approximately 80 nucleotides in length. Their secondary structure includes four short double-helical elements and three loops (D, anti-codon, and T loops). Further hydrogen bonds mediate the characteristic L-shaped molecular structure. tRNAs have two regions of fundamental functional importance: the anti-codon, which is responsible for specific mRNA codon recognition, and the 3' end, to which the tRNAs corresponding amino acid is attached (by aminoacyl-tRNA synthetases). tRNAs cope with the degeneracy of the genetic code in two manners: having more than one tRNA (with a specific anti-codon) for a particular amino acid; and 'wobble' base-pairing, i.e. permitting non-standard base-pairing at the 3rd anti-codon position. Lineage: Bacteria; Bacillati; Bacillota; Bacilli; Caryophanales; Caryophanaceae. The record is from RNAcentral. RNAcentral also lists the same sequence under 4 other names.